Bombyx mori (domestic silkworm) is the source of this 8676-nucleotide RNA transcript. It is a transcript of the gene named myotubularin-related protein 10-A, with no coding region annotated. Lineage: Eukaryota; Metazoa; Arthropoda; Insecta; Lepidoptera; Bombycidae. The transcript is spliced from 12 exons. The record is from RefSeq and is a predicted model, not a curated record.
GACUAUUAAACUUGUGUAAAAUAAAUAUUUCAAUCGUAACUAUUCUUUAAAAGUGGGUCAACAUUGCGUGAGGAGCAAGUUGUUAAAAAUGAAUGAGAAGAAAUUAGUGCAAAACUUCAAAAGCUACAUCAACGUGUCGUCGAGCAAAGAAGAAAAGAAUGGCACUAUUCAAGAGGUGAAACCGAAAUUAUUGACAGGAGAGUUGGUGACUGGUGUAGCUCAUAAUGUGGUGAUGCUGACUCCGCUUAGCGAGAGGGAUCAUGGUCGCUUGGGAUCCGUCUUCGUUACAAACUACAAACUUUCAUUCGUACCUUUGGAACGAUCUCAACAGGAUGAAUGCAGUCAGCGGAACCACCUCCUCGGACCUCACGAUGUGCCUUUAUUGGCUGUGGGUGCAGUGUGGCUCACCGAUGGCGGCCCGGUGCGGCGGCGAAGGCUCAUGCCCUGCGGCGAUAUGCCCGGAAAGGUUAAAGGGCUCCAGAUAAUAUGUAAGAAUAUGAAAGUAAUAACGUUUAGUUUCACGACCGCCCCAAUGCACAGCGGCAGGAAGAUUGCCCUAUCCCUAAUGCACCACGCGUUCCCGAAGCGGCACCAUCUAUUGUUCGCCUUCGAAUACCAUGAGCCGUAUUAUCCGACUUUGCCGUCCGAACUGAACAUGUUCCAAAGGCCGGGCGACUGGAAGCGUGAACUGGAACGAUGCGAAUGUCCCCACUGGCGGAUAACCUGCAUCAACGGCACGUCGGACGCCUUCAUGCUGACCGCCGGUGAAACGCUGAUAGUUCCGAAUUCGGUCCUGGAUUACAACCUGGUGGAGUCUGCGCGACACUUCAGGUCGGGUCGCGUGCCGGUGUGGGUGUGGGGCAGGCCGGAGGGCGCGGCGCUGCUGAGGAGCGGGGAGCUACUCCCCACAGAGCAGGCACCCACCGCCGAAAGCGUCUUAUUAGAACAGAUCCGACGUUCCCAUCCAAAGCUGACACCUCCGCAAGUCCUAUAUCUGUGCGGGAACAGCUUCACCACUACUGGUUCGAACGCUAACAUUCUACCUCCGCUCAGCAGUCUGCAGGCGUCUUUCAAGAAACUGAUGGAUCUCUGUACCCCUACGAAGUUGUCAGGGUUUUGGAGACGCUCACCAAGUAAGUCGCGAUGGGAAACUUUAAAACGAUUCUAUCGUCACGACAUAAACGUGUUCUGGGUGCAGGACGCGCAGUACCACUCGGUGCUGGAGUCCAGCAAGUGGCUGCGGCACGUAGCCACGUGCCUGGCGCUGGCGGACGAGGCGGCACACCACCUGGCCCGCAACGUCACCGUCGUGCUGCAGGAAGGCGAGGGUGUGGACUACAGCGCGGUGGUGUCGAGCCUGACGCAGCUGCUGCUGGAGCCGCACUGGCGCACGCUGGUCGGCUUCCAGUCGCUCGUGCAGAAGGAGUGGCUGGCGCUCGGACACCCCUUCUGCGACCGACUUCCAUGUAGGUACGGCCUCCCCAGUCCCGGCAACCCCAAGGAGACCCGGGAGCAGAGCCCGGGCCAGGUGGCGCCGGUGUUCCUGCUGUUCCUGGACUGCACGUGGCAGCUCACGCGGCAGUUCCCGGCCAGCUUCCAGUUCACGGAGACCUACCUCACCACGCUGUGGGACUGCACGCACAACCAGAUAUUCGACACCUUCCUGUUCAACUGUUCCCGGGACAGGGAACUUGCCUAUACGAAUAAGAAAAACCAGCAGAGCUUCGUCCCGGUGUGGGAUUGGGGGGAGCAGUUCUCGGAGCAAGACAAGGCCCUGUUCUACAACCCGCUCUACGCGAUGUCGGCCAAGCCUUCCAACGUCACUCCAAACAGAUCCUGUGAGUGUGACGUUAAUCUAUACCAGUACCUCAAUACCACCAGUGCUACGCGACCCCUGACGUGCUUACAGUACUAUGGCAUGCCCGUGGUAUCAAUUUCUGGUUAUAACGUUUUACUGGAUUUCCUCGAAUAAUUCAAGGUAUCUUUUGUAUUUCAAUACUUACAACUUUUCACUAUGAUCAGCAAGUCUAUGUUGUACCAUAAAUGUGGUGACGUCACAGUCCAAACAAACACGCAUUAAUUACGUACAAACAUGACGCACCCGCCGCGGACUUGACCACUACUUACGUAUUACUGGCCUCGUAGUUAUUAGCGAUUCAAAUAUGACGGUAUUUUGUCACAUAAAAGUGUCGACCGAUUUGCUCUGUAACUAAACUUCGGCCAACCAGACGAGAUAAUAGGUGACUAGGUAGACUCACUGGUGGUAGGACCUCUUGUGAGUCCGCACGGGUAGGUACUACCAUCCCGCCUAUUUCUGCCGUGAAGCAGUAAUGCGUUUCGGUUUGAAGGGUGGGGCAGCCAUUGUAACUAUACUGAGACCUUAGAACUUAUACUCAAGGUGGGUGGCGCAUUUACAUUGUAGAUGUCUAUGGGCUCCAGUAACCACUUAACACCAGGUGGGCGGUGAGCUCGUCCACCCAUCUAAGCAAUUAAAAAAAAAAAAAAACCUAAACAAGCGGACCGUUACUGAGUUACAUUGCGAUAGCGAGGGAUUAUUAUCUCUGUCCUUAUCACUCGUACGCGCAGUUAUGGCGUCAGUUGGUCGACAACAGCUGCCGUUGUGUGUUUCGUGGUACAGGAAAGCACUGAGUACCGCAGUUGUCAACAUUUGGUCCGCCAUUUUGUGAACAAGUUCAUUCCUGUUUGGAUUGCGUUCGAAGUGAUACAUAUUUUUUCGUUUCCGUAUUUACUUGGUUUGUUGUUGUUAUUAUACCGUUUUUGUUAGUUUUAUUUUUGAUUUUUGCUGUUAUUGUGAGUACUUAGUUGUUGAUUUUAAUUAUGGAAUCACAGACUGGCGGCUCUAAAAUGAAUUCACCACGCAAAAAGCGUCAAAAGGUAAGUAAAUUUAUUAAUUUGUACUUGAACCACUACCAUAAUUUUGAUUUUUAAAGUUCCGUACCAAAAAAGAUUCUUUUUUAUAUAAUAAGUAAUAAGAAAAUAGUCUAAAAUUUACCAUUCCUCACCAUUUUUAUUUUAUUUACAGCGGACGUAUUUUACAUCGAAUGAAAAAGGAAUGGUCCGACGAAUCAUAUUUGUCUAGUACAGAUGACAGCGAAUAAAAUUCGAACUUUGUAAUAAUUUAUUUAAAUAAAAAUGUUUUUUACUCCUGAAACUUUAUUUACAUUUUUUAUCUCGUCUGGUUGGCCUUACUUUAGUUAAGAGAAUAUCAAUAUCGAUGCAGUGAGUUGGGUCCUUAAGAUUUAUCUAAUACGUCAACAUUGUAAAGAAAACGUCAGGGAUUUGUGUCGAUUUAAAAAUUUAACAGGACCUAAAGGAAAAUUAAGUUCUGUUUAUCGAUACGCUCAUCACUCGAAGUGCCGACCGAUUUAUCUCUUGUUGAUUUGUUUGAUUCGUCACUGUCUUAGUAAUGCUUCUGAGGGAUAAUUGAAAAAUUUUCUCGUAACAUUAAAAUAUUCACAAAACUGUUUUUUAUAGGUUAUGUGGGUGGACGAGCUUACAGCCCACCCGGUGUUAAGUGGUUACUGGAUCCCAUAGAUAUCUACAACGUUAAUGCGCCACGCACCUUGAGGUAUGAGUUCUAAGGUCUCAAUAUAGUAACAACGGCUGCCCCGCCCUUCGAACCGAAACGCAUUAUAGUCCAGGAUCCACCGCCCAUUUUUGCACUUGAUUACUAUCAAGCUAAUUUUCCGUGAGUAGCUUUAUUUUGAUGAGACGCCCAAUAAUUUCCUAUACGAAACUCUCGAUUGUGGUAGCUAACAGAGGUAGCGAGGAUAAAAUAUGUUGAUUUGAUGAUUCUCAAAUAUUUAUUACUAACUGAAUUUUUUUUUGUUAAAUCUCAAGACAAUUAUCUAAAUUAUUCGAAAAAAUAUUUGUCCUACAAAAUCUAUGGUUUGAUCAAAGAGUCCCCUCUUUCCGACAUGUAUCGAUAACAAGGUCAUCAUAAAUGAUUACUAACCAGCUGAUUUUUUUUUUUUUACUUAGUUAAUAUUUAUGUAAUUUAACAGACAUAUUGUCCUACAAAUUGCGCGGUACGUUAUCCCGGUCCUACGCUCAGAAAUUGUUAAUACCACAAGACCAUUUUUCUCAUUACUAACUGUAGGACAAAAAUAUCAUAUAAUAGGUUAGUGUGUUCUCUGCCCAAAUGAAACAACGUCCUACAAGAAAACAGGUAUGUAUCACUAGUCCGACAAGAAUUGUAAUUUUUUCGUUUUUCUAUUUGUAAAAUAAGAUACAGUGAAAAAAUCUUUUUUAAAAUUUAAAUAACUUUAUUUUUUAGUAAUCUAGGUACAAAAAUUUGUGUAUUUAUAUAUAUAUAUAUAUAUAUAUAUUAAUUUCUUUAUAUAUAUAUAUAUAUAUAUAUAUAUAUAUAAAGAAAUUAAUCUUCAUCAGAUUCAUCUGAUAAAUGUUCGCUACUAACAUCGUUAUCAUCUUCAUCUGUUUCACUUUCUUCACUCGUGAUAUCUGACUCUGUAAUAACAUGAAAAAAUUAAGUAAAUUAUAUAAUAAUGAAUAAUCAAUCAAUACAUAAAAAUAGUAUUAAUAGGUUACCUUGUAAGUCAGAAGAUAAUUUUUCAAAUGAUGGACUUUGGGGACCAUCAAACCAAUAAUAUUCAUAUUUACCAUCAAUUAUUGUCCAUCCAAAAUUUUCUGGCAAUUUUUCCGUGGGGCACCGCAUGUGUGCAUUACACCAUAUAUUGCAGAUGAAUACAGUUCGUUUAAUUUGUUGCAACAAUUCUUGUUUUGUUGGUGGCAAACUGGAAGGAUCAUAUCCUACGAUUUUUUGUUUUAAAAUUUUUUCAUUGUCAUUUUUUGAUUUAUACCCUUUUUCAAAUAACUCAUACCGUCCUUUAUUCAGAUCAUUUUUUGUUUUUAAUGAAUACAUUCUGCAUACAUACUCUUCAAUAAUUUGAACUACCUCAUUCGAUGUUGUUAAUUCCGUAUUUUUAAUUCGUAGAAGUUGAAUAAAUGCCUCUUGAAAAUUUUCAUUUUUCUUUAAAAUACUGAAAGGUUUCUUUUUUCCUUUACGAAAGAAAGCAGGAUUGUAAUCAUUCCCUGUAAAAAUAUGGCAUAUGGCGAGUGAACAAGAUAAUUGAUCUCCAAGCUUGGCAUAAAUUUCAUUUAUGUUUAAGUACAUUUUUUUUUUAUUCGUGCUUAAAUUAAUUAUUAUUUGAAUUUUAUCUUUUAAAUGCUUAAAAUUUGCCAACAUUAUUAUUGGUAUAUCAGAAUCUGUACAAUGUAUCUCCACACGAUAGUUAGUAUUAAAUUGACAAAUGUGGUAUACUAUUUUGGUAUCAGCUUCUUCAUGAUAACAAGAGAAAUUAUAGUCAAUGACUCUUUUUAUUUUAUUUUCACUAGACACCUCAUAAAUGUAACAUUGAUCAUAAUUAAGUUUAAUAGUCUUUCCUGUGAUCAAAGUAAUAAAUUCGUCCCUUGUCCAAUCUUCAAUUAAAAAUUUUACAAAUUUUUCUUUAAAAUUGUUGCUCCUCAAUAAUUUGCAGAAAUCUGAAGGACGAUUAUUGUCUUUACGUAUUACGUCAUAUUGUAUGUCAUCUUCACCUCUCAGAUUAUGUUCAAAAUCUUUAAUACUGGGAUUUUUGUAUUUGUCAAAUAUAAUAUGUACUUCUUUUCUAUUAUAUGUAAGUAUUUUUAAUAUAUGCAUUGAGAUUUUACCAUAUCUGUUUGGAAGGUUCUUCAAUGUAUGUAAUAAAUAAAAUCCAUCAACUAAGUGAAUAUCUGCUUCUGGAGGAUUUACUAUUUCAGUUUGAUAUUCUAGUAAUUCAUUAAUAAUUACAGAUUUUGGGGUCUUGCAAAUUGUUCCAUUAGUAUGACAGAGUGAAAAUGGAAUAGGAGCUAGAGGAUAACUUAAUGCUUUUUCUAAAUCAAUUUUAUUUUUUAGUGACACAUAAAGUAGACGACCAAAAACAUCUCUUUGCAUUUGAACUUCUUUCACUUUUCCAUUAAUUUUGACUUUUUGCGUAUUCUUGUACUCAAAAUUAAUUAUUUUAUUUCUGGUAAUGGCUUUAUCAAACCUAUCUGGUGUUACUCGAGACUCAGCAAUGAAAUUCUUAUUUUGUUUUUCGCCCUCAAUUUCAACUGAUGAUAAAAAGUUAUAUACUUCAUCGUUCACCGACUGACCUUUCGAUAUAUUGUAAAGAUGAUCUUCUGACAGUUCUAAUCCAAAAGGGUUGGUGUACUGCUUUAUUAGUUGCAUUAGUACUUGUAAGUUUUUGGUAGAUUUAUUAAUUGUUGAUUUCUUUAAAUCUUUCGUAAUAUCAUCUGUUGAUUUCAUAUUACAAAAUUCCAUCACUUUAGAUAUAACACUUGUACGUAGUGAGUGAGUAAUUGACCAUUUUUGUCUUGCAGAGAACGAGUUUGUAAUGUUUACAAUUCCAGAAGCUUUAGAAGCAGCAUCAGCAUUGAUUGUUUGUUCAAGUGUUAAAUCAACUGGGAUUCUUGAAAACGGUUUUAUUGUUCUUCGAAUGCCCAUAAAACUCUUUUGACAAUCAUCAAGCAAUCCGGGAUGUGUAGUUUCAAUAUUUAUCAACUUAUCCCAAUAAAUAGACAUAUACCUUGCAUAAUUAUGGUGAUUCAUUGAAAAAAAAACAUUUGUUAUUUUCGGUAAAGUGUCUACAAACAAAUUGAAGUCACCUAUACGAAUACUAUAUUCUAAUUGAAGAUAAUAUUCAACUAAUCUUGUGUACAUUAAAUAAAUUUGAGGUGUUUUACCAUGCCUUCCAUUUAAAGUUUCAUUUUUAUAUUCUUCAUAUUUGUUAAAUAAUUUUUUUAAAUUCUCAUUGGUUAUUUGUGGGUCAUCAUUCUGUUGUUCAUUAAAUAUUUUUAAGUAUUCUUUAAUAUUUUCCAGGUCCUGAUCAUGCUGCUGUAAAAACCUUUCCAAAUGUAAAUUCUGCAAAGCAAGAGAGAGUAAAGGAUGAAUUUUUCUGCAUCGAUUAAAGUGUUUUCCACUUAAAAACGAACUGAUAGAACCACUGGCCAAAAUUUCGCUAUCUAUAAGAAUAUUUGUUAACCCAGAUCCACUUAUAAAUUUCCCGAUAGCUUUCAUGAAUGAUAACAUUAUGUGGAAAGGUCCAAAAUUAAUAAAAAGUUUUUCGAAUUCAUCCUCCGCACUCUGUAUCCGUAAAGCAAUCUUGGCCAUGGCUAAAUCGUGACGCUACACUACUACGCCAAAAUUCUGGACGUCGUUGCUUCGCGUACAGUAUAUUUUCAAAUGACUGUUCCUCAAACGAACGUUUUCUACGGCCAGCCAAAUCACGAACAUUACUUGAAGAAUUCCGUUCAGCUUCUGUAGAUGCAUCGUUCCUUUUGAUGAUGUUCAAUUCUUCUUCUGUAGGGAUAUUUUGAUAAAUGAUACCCACUGUAUCAUGUAAGGUAUUUUUACCAGAGCUUGUCUCUACAUAUCUGUCGUAAUUAUCCCACGCUACUCCAGAUGAUAAUAUAGAAGUUCGUUGAAUGCUUGUUGGACAUAAUUGAUUAUUAGAAACACAACAGUAUGCAGCAGACGUCUCCAAUUCCAGUAUACUUGGAUAGGUGAUGCAGUAUCCUUGCCUGCUUAAUAUAUCCACGACUUUUUUGCUUCCUGUGAGACUUUUUAUGGUUAUACCCAAUAAAAUAUGCUUUCGCGGUUUAAUAUAACCUCUUGUAAUGCUGUAGAUAGAGUCCUGCGAAAAAGAUGAAGACAAUCUCCGAACCCGAUCGCAGCUUUCUUUGCCAAUACCGCUUAAAGCAGUAGUCCAAAAUAUAUCUAACCAUUUUGGAACAUCGCACUCUCCUUCAUUUAAUACUUCACUGUCGAUGAAAUCUGUUAAAGGUUUUUUUUUUAUUCCCAAUAUAUUUUUUCGAUAUUUCAAGGCGAAAUCUUUUGCUUCUUGUUCAAAUAAUAUAUCAUUAAUUUCUUCAUCAUCGAUUGUUUCAAUAUCGAUUUCAGAUGAUAUAAAAAAUUGUUGAUUUGAAAUAUUGACCAAUGAUAUUUUGUGUUUUAAUUGAGUUUGUAUAUAGUCCUUGAGAGCUUGAUUGCUAAAUGUGGUAGCUUCUAAAUUUGCGUGUUCAUAAAUUUCUUUUACAAAUUCAGCAUAACAAUAUUUCAAGUGAGCUAAUGACAUCACUCGUCGAUUUGUAAUAACUUCUUGCUGAAUAUAAUUAAUCAAGCGUUCUCUGGCAAUUUUAUGGCCAUCUCGUUUCGUGGCCCAAUCAUUAGUUGGAGGUGGAUUCAUUUUCCUUUGGUAUUUGGCAAAAUAAUUGACAUUACAUAUAUUAUGAUACGCCAAAAAAGUAUCGUUAACAGAGUUAUUUUCUUCUUGAAUUUUCCGUAACAUUUCUAUAUCGCCCAGUUCUGUAGAAUAAUUUUUAAUUUUUUCUAGAAAGGAUAUUUUGUUUUUAAUUUUACGACAGUAUAUUUGUCGCCCUUUACGUUUUUUAUUGACUUUUUGACAAAAAAAGCAUUUCUUUGCUAACUCAUCAUCUCCAAAACUUUGUACUUCCGUUUCACAAUCUACAUUGUCCUCCUCAACAGUAUUCUCCAAAUCUUCAAUAUUACUGGUUUCAUCAUUAAUUAAUAUCGAACUCUGGUCAAUAUUUCUGUAAAUAAUAACGUGCAAAACAAUUUUAUAAUUAAAAAAUAAAUAAAUAAUUUCAAGAAGC